This 223-nucleotide long non-coding RNA is filed under the name Bos taurus (domestic cattle). RNAcentral describes it as "long non-coding RNA NONBTAT024666". The stretch from base 103 to 223 matches the Rfam family "Bag-1 internal ribosome entry site (IRES)". Rfam says of the family: This family represents the bag-1 internal ribosome entry site (IRES). When expressed the BAG-1 protein is known to enhance the anti-apoptotic properties of Bcl-2. Although bag-1 translation usually occurs via a cap-dependent mechanism it has been found to contain a IRES in its 5' UTR. Lineage: Eukaryota; Metazoa; Chordata; Mammalia; Artiodactyla; Bovidae. The record is from RNAcentral.
CCGGCUGCAGCCGGGCUGCUCCGAGGGGCGGGGCCGGUAGGCCCGGGAGGGGCGGGGAAGUAGCCGAACUGGGGUGGAGGGCCCCUAGCUAGCUACCAUAGCUGGGCGGGCGACAAGCGCGGGUCUGGCGGAGCGCGGGGGCGCGCGAAGACCGCGAGGCGACCGGGAGCGGCAGAGGCGCCGCCGCCUGCGCUCGCAGGCCGCGGGUGAAAAAGAAAGCACA